Molecule: ribosomal RNA, 455 nt
Filed under: uncultured bacterium
Lineage: Bacteria
Description: SSU rRNA
Rfam family: Bacterial small subunit ribosomal RNA
Source: RNAcentral
AGAAUCAACGCUGGCGGCGUGCCUAACACAUGCAAGUCGAACGAGAAAGUGGAGCAAUCCAUUAGUAAAGUGGCGCACGGGUGAGUAACACGUGACUAACCUACCCUUGAGUGGGGGAUAACCUAGAGAAAUCUGGGCUAAUACCGCAUAAUACCUUCGGGUCAAAGGAGCAAUUCGCUUAAGGAGGGGGUCGCGGCCGAUUAGUUAGUUGGCGGGGUAAUGGCCCACCAAGACUAUGAUCGGUAUCCGGCCUGAGAGGGCGCACGGACACACUGGAACUGAAACACGGUCCAGACUCCUACGGGAGGCAGCAGUGGGAUUUGCGCAAUGGGGGAAACCCUGACGCAGCAACGCCGCGUGGAGGAUGAAGCCCCUUGGGGCGUAAACUCCUUUCGAUCGGGACGAUAAUGACGGUACCGAGAGAAGAAGCCCGGCUAACUCGCGCCAGCAGCCGC